CUGAUACGUGAUUUCUACCCCAUGCACUUUGUAUUCAGUGUUUGAAUGUUUAGUUUGACCCAUGGGAAGCUCCACCGAGAUAUUUCUGUCACUGUUGGGAACACGUUGGUGCCGUCCACAGGUAAACCUCGAGUUAUACCGGCCUAUUCACUAAAUUGCAUCUUCAAAUGGACAGUGCGACAGGGAGCCCUCCAGGAGCCAGUAACGCUCACCCAGCAGCAGCCCAGAGAGCGGACCUGCUUGGACCUUUGCCCCGUGGCUGCCCUGCAAGGCCCCGGCGGCCGUGAAGACACACGCGGCACCUCUUUGGAAGAGUCCGUUUGGCUUCUCCCAUCUGGAGUCAGUCUUCCACCCCGUCCAAACUGGGGUGUGAGGAGGAUGUGUGGACAGGUGUGUCAGCGCUCAGCAGCUGCAUUUAGGAGAGACUUUCUUCUUCUUCUCCUUUUUCUUUUAAUUUGUCAGAGAGAGAGCACAAGCAGGGGUUGCGACAGGCAGAGGGAGAAGCAGACUCCCCGCUCAGCAGGGUGCCCGACUCAGGGCUUGAUUCCAGGACCCCAAGAUCAUGACCUGAGCCAAAGGCAGACGCUUCACCAAAUGAGCCACCCAGGCAUCUCUAGGAGUGACUUUCAACCUCAUGCCACAGGGUCUGAGCUGGAAAAGGAAACCCACCUCUGUGGCUGCAAGGGUCUCCCAAUAAUUGUCAGACCAGUGCACACAGAUGGCUUUCAGCUCUGCCCGAGGCUUCAGACCUUCCUUCUGGAUGUCUCCCCUGGGCGUCCCAUGGGCACUUUAAACAUACAUUCCAGACUGAACAUGCCACUUUUCCUCCACUAUUCCCCAAACUGCCCUUUCCUUGCUAGUCUGGAUUCUGACUGUAAUGCUCUCGCCACCAGCACCAUUACCCAAGCCAAAUCCUGGCUCUCAUCCUCCACCCUUUCUGUGACCCUUCCCUUUCCUUCUUUUGGAACUGUGGAGCAAGGCAUCAGGGCCCCCAGUGACUGCUGAGCUCAACGCAAACGGGCAAUGCAAACAGGCUCAUGAAACGACCCACCUCUAAAUAGCCAUAGGCCCUCACUGACCAGUUAUAGCCAGGCGCAGUUCCUAAGAUCACCAAAAAGGGGAAAAUUCCCUAUGUCCCCAUACUCCCUCACUCCGCCCUGUGACUGUGGCCCCUCACCACCGCCUCGGAGCAGACAGUCUGUCCUCUGCUGGCCUGCGCACUGCUUCCUUGCAGUGUAUUCAAUACACUUCUCUCUUGUUCUGCGUGGGGUGAGUUAUAUCACCAUCUGCGCCGCCGG
RNAcentral lists this long non-coding RNA (1298 nucleotides) under Ursus americanus (American black bear). RNAcentral describes it as "lncRNA (ENSUAMG00000000506.1)". Lineage: Eukaryota; Metazoa; Chordata; Mammalia; Carnivora; Ursidae. The record is from RNAcentral.